RNAcentral lists this long non-coding RNA (1860 nucleotides) under Marmota monax (woodchuck). Lineage: Eukaryota; Metazoa; Chordata; Mammalia; Rodentia; Sciuridae. The record is from RNAcentral.
CUCGGAUUCAGACAUUGGACUGUUAUUCAAAACCAAAAAGAAACGAGCUCUCAGUCAUGAUGAAGUCAGGAGGAAGAGAUAAGGCUGUGUAGAUAGGGAAAUGGGCCCUUGGUGACUUCCUAAGCAACAUAGCACAAACAGGCAGCUGGAGGUUUUUUGCUGAGAAACUUGCAAAAAGAUUAUUUUUAAAUUGGGGCAAUUUGGAGUCCAUGGCCUCUCCAAAGAAGGAAAAACCUGAUCAAUAUUUUGAUUGGUCUAGAGACUGCAUGACCACCUUGUAGACACCGAGUGCCUUACCCAGAAUUGGUGGGGGCUGACUUCCUUCACCCUGGAGAUCCACGGGAACCUCUAGACAAUAGCCAUCCCUGGUGCAUUAGUCAGUUCUUUCACUGCUGUGACUAACGGACCCAACCAGAGGAGGAAAGUUUAUUCAGGGGCUCAUGGUUUCAGAGGUCUCAGUCUCUAGACAGCAGGCUCCAUUCCUCAGGGCUGGAGGUGAGGCAGGACAUCAUGGUGGAAGAGUGCAGCUCUAUGGUGAUCAGAAAGCAGAGAGACUCCCCUCGAAUGAUACAAAUAUAUGCCCCAAAGCCACGGCCCCAGUUCCCACCUACUCCAGCCACACCCCACCUGCCUCCAGUCACCACUCAGUUACUCCCAUCAGGGGUUAAUUCACUGAUUGGGUCAAGGCUCUCGCAACCUAAUCAUUUCUCCUCUGAAUUCUCUCACAUUGUCUCACACGUGAGCUUUUGGGGGACACCACAGCUAAACCCUAACAAUCAAACCUAGCGAUGAGGGCUUUGCUUCAUUUUGCUUUAAUAAGCCCUUACACUUCACUUUCACCCACUGUCGUGGGUGAAUCUCAUUCUUUGAAUUCAUGAGGCAAAACCCCCACCUGCCUCCACACUGUGUAUUACCAUGAAAGACAGAGAAACCUUAGGUGGAUUUCUGUAAGUGAAAAAAUCCAAACUGAAAGACAGCAUGCUGUUUGCUUCCAACCACAUGGAAAAGGCAGAAUUAUGGACGCAGUGAAAAGAUCAGGGGCUACUGGGGAUGAGAGGAGCGAGGGAUGAACAGGCAGAGCAUGGAGGGGACUUCAGGCCAGUGCCAUCAUUCUGUGUGAUAUUGCAAGGGCAGAUGCGUGGCGUACGUCUGUGAAAACCCACGGACCUCCGCAGCCAGCCCUGAUGUAAACUAGGACUCUGGGUGAUAACGAUGUCCCAUGCGGGUUCAUCCUCUGUAAAAACUGUGCACCGCGAUGGGCGAUGGGCAUGUGGAUGGUGGGGGAGGCUGUGUGCGGGCAGGGAGCUUAUGGGGACUCUCUGUACUCUCUGCUUAAUUUUGCUGUGAAUCUAAAACUGCUGUACAACAUAAAGUCUAUUAUUUUUUUAAGGGGAUUUUUACUUCAAAGAGUGUUGGGAAGCUCCCCUCGCUGGGCUCUGGGCCAUGCUGGUCUCUUGCUGUCCAAGUUCCUCCUUGCAUCAAGCCAUUGUCACUCUGUCCUGAGGGCUUGCCUUUCCUCUCCCCCUCUGCCUGGUGAACUCCUGCCCAUCCUUUGGCUCAGCUCAGGUGUCUGGUCCAUGGUGAGGUUUUCCUUAAAGCAUCCUGUUCAGGGCACGGCUUUGCCUCUGAAGCCUUUUCAUCAGUGUGCUUUAGAGCAGCCUCUUUGAUAGAUAUGACUGUGCUUUGAAGUCUAUUCUUGUUCAUUAUCUAUGAUUUAUGCACCUUUUCCCCAGCUGAAUCUUUCAUUUGAAGGGCAAUGGCCUGGAAGGAGACGAGGAGGUCUGUGUGCAUGAAGCUAGGCAAGGGUGAAGUUUCCCAAGCUCUGAAGCCCAGGCUCUCCUACCUCAUCUGACCCUUUUA